This 253-nucleotide ribosomal RNA is filed under the name uncultured bacterium. RNAcentral describes it as "partial 16S ribosomal RNA". It matches the Rfam family "Bacterial small subunit ribosomal RNA", at positions 524 to 776 of the family's 1533-position model. The record is from RNAcentral.
UACGGAGGGUGCGAGCGUUGUUCGGAAUUAUUGGGCGUAAAGCGCGUGUAGGUGGUCGGGUAAGUCAGAUGUGAAAGCCUUCUGCUUAACAGAAGAAGUGCAUUUGAAACUGCUCGGCUAGAGUACGGGAGAGGAGAGUGGAAUUCCCGGUGUAGAGGUGAAAUUCGUAGAUAUCGGGAGGAACACCAGUGGCGAAGGCGGCUCUCUGGUCCGAUACUGACGCUGAGGUGCGAAAGCGUGGGGAGCGAACAGG